CCUACGGGGGGCUGCAGUCGAGAAUCAUUCACAAUGGGGGAAACCCUGAUGGUGCGACGCCGCGUGGGGGAAUGAAGGUCUUCGGAUUGUAAACCCCUGUCAUGUGGGAGCAAAUUAAAAAGAUAGUACCACAAGAGGAAGAGACGGUUAACUCUGUGCCAGCAGCCGCGGUAAUACAGAGGUCUCAAGCGUUGUUCGGAAUCACUGGGCGUAAAGCGUGCGUAGGCUGUUUCGUAAGUCGUGUGUGAAAGGCGCGGGCUCAACCCGCGGACGGCACAUGAUACUGCGGGACUAGAGUAAGGGAGGGGGAACCGGAAUGCUCGGUGUAGCAGUGAAAUGCGUAGAUAUCGAGAGGAACACUCGUGGCGAAGGCGGGUUCCUGGACAUUAACUGACGCUGAGGCACGAAGGCCAGGGGAGCGAAAGGGAUUAGAUACCCGAGUAGUC
This 446-nucleotide ribosomal RNA is filed under the name uncultured bacterium. RNAcentral's name for it is "partial 16S ribosomal RNA". It matches the Rfam family "Bacterial small subunit ribosomal RNA", at positions 338 to 795 of the family's 1533-position model. The record is from RNAcentral.